UGGCGAACGAGUGAGUAACACGUGGGUGAUCUGCCCUGCACUUCGGGAUAAGCCUGGGAAACUGGGUCUAAUACCGGAUAGGACGAUGGUUUGGAUGCCAUUGUGGAAAGUUUUUCGGUGCAAGAUGAGCUCGCGGCCUAUCAGCUUGUUGGUGGGGUAAUGGCCUACCAAGGCGUCGACGGGUAGCCGGCCUGAGAGGGUGGACGGCCACAUUGGGACUGAGAUACGGCCCAG
This 234-nucleotide ribosomal RNA is filed under the name uncultured Actinomycetales bacterium. RNAcentral describes it as "partial 16S ribosomal RNA". It matches the Rfam family "Bacterial small subunit ribosomal RNA", at positions 96 to 334 of the family's 1533-position model. The record is from RNAcentral. Lineage: Bacteria; Bacillati; Actinomycetota; Actinomycetes; Actinomycetales.